CAGUGACUGGCUGAGCAGCCAUCUUCUGGCAUUCCCUUCCAGGCCCAGGCUGUGGACAGCAGGUAUCGGGGGCAGAAUCAGGAGAUUGAUGAGGUAAUGCUGAAGACAUAGAUGUCUAAGUCCAUGUCUACCUUCAUGAGGCCAUUUCAUUCUGCUCAUACGCAGGAUGUAAUUCAGUUAUACCAGGAUCAAGGGGCCAAACAUUGGUGUGCAAAGUGAAAAGGGCCAUGUUAAUCUACCGAAAUAUGAUUUGGAUAUGAGAUAGUGAGAUCCAUAAAUUACACGUAAAGACCCUGCAGUCGGGGGUGGAUGAGGG
This is a long non-coding RNA of Bufo gargarizans (Asiatic toad), 316 nucleotides long. RefSeq lists it as uncharacterized. The record is from RefSeq and is a predicted model, not a curated record. The transcript is spliced from 3 exons. NCBI's taxonomy places the organism in Eukaryota, Metazoa, Chordata, Amphibia, Anura, Bufonidae.